RNAcentral lists this non-coding RNA (23 nucleotides) under Arabidopsis thaliana (thale cress). The record is from RNAcentral. Lineage: Eukaryota; Viridiplantae; Streptophyta; Magnoliopsida; Brassicales; Brassicaceae.
AGGUCCUCACCCGCACGUACCUA